CGACCGGCGCACGGGUGAGUAACACGUAUCCAACCUGCCGAUGACUCGGGGAUAGCCUUUCGAAAGAAAGAUUAAUACCCGAUGGCAUAGUUCUUCCGCAUGGUAGAACUAUUAAAGAAUUUCGGUCAUCGAUGGGGAUGCGUUCCAUUAGCUUGUUGGCGGGGUAACGGCCCACCAAGGCAUCGAUGGAUAGGGGUUCUGAGAGGAAGGUCCCCCACAUUGGAACUGAGACACGGUCCAAACUCCUACGGGAGGCAGCAG
RNAcentral lists this ribosomal RNA (261 nucleotides) under uncultured bacterium. RNAcentral describes it as "partial 16S ribosomal RNA". It matches the Rfam family "Bacterial small subunit ribosomal RNA", at positions 92 to 354 of the family's 1533-position model. The record is from RNAcentral.